This 493-nucleotide ribosomal RNA is filed under the name Gibbsiella quercinecans. Its description in RNAcentral is "bacterial LSU rRNA". It matches the Rfam family "Bacterial large subunit ribosomal RNA", at positions 2459 to 2925 of the family's 2925-position model. The record is from RNAcentral. Lineage: Bacteria; Pseudomonadati; Pseudomonadota; Gammaproteobacteria; Enterobacterales; Yersiniaceae.
AAAGGUACUCCGGGGAUAACAGGCUGAUACCGCCCAAGAGUUCAUAUCGACGGCGGUGUUUGGCACCUCGAUGUCGGCUCAUCACAUCCUGGGGCUGAAGUAGGUCCCAAGGGUAUGGCUGUUCGCCAUUUAAAGUGGUACGCGAGCUGGGUUUAGAACGUCGUGAGACAGUUCGGUCCCUAUCUGCCGUGGGCGUUGGAAGAUUGAGAGGGGUUGCUCCUAGUACGAGAGGACCGGAGUGAACGCACCGCUGGUGUUCGGGUUGUCAUGCCAAUGGCAUUGCCCGGUAGCUAAGUGCGGAAGAGAUAAGCGCUGAAAGCAUCUAAGCGCGAAACUUGCCUCGAGAUGAGUCUUCCCUUGGACUUUAAGUCCACUAAAGGAACGUUUAAGACUAAGACGUUGAUAGGCUGGGUGUGUAAGUGCAGCGAUGCAUUGAGCUAACCAGUACUAAUGAACCGUGAGGCUUAACCUUACAACACCGAAGGUGUUUUAG